RNAcentral lists this transfer RNA (66 nucleotides) under Anoplopoma fimbria (sablefish). RNAcentral's name for it is "tRNA-Cys". It matches the Rfam family "tRNA". From Rfam's summary of the family: Transfer RNA (tRNA) molecules are approximately 80 nucleotides in length. Their secondary structure includes four short double-helical elements and three loops (D, anti-codon, and T loops). Lineage: Eukaryota; Metazoa; Chordata; Actinopteri; Perciformes; Anoplopomatidae. The record is from RNAcentral.
AGCCCUGAGGUGUUAUCAUGUGAGAUUGCAAAUCUUAAGAAGCAGGCUAGACACCUGCCGGGGCUU